UACGUAUGGGGCGAGCGUUGUUCGGAAUUAUUGGGCGUAAAGGGCGUCUAGGCGGGAAAUUAAGUUAGGUGUGAAAGCUAUGGGCUCAACCCAUAAACUGCAUCUAAAACUGAUUUUCUUGAGUUCGGGAGAGGAGAGCGGAAUUCCAGGUGUAGCGGUGAAAUGCGUAGAUAUCUGGAAGAACACCAGUGGCGAAGGCGGCUCUCUGGCCUAGAACUGACGCUGAAGCGCGAAAGCGUGGGGAGCGAACAGG
Molecule: ribosomal RNA, 253 nt
Filed under: uncultured bacterium
Lineage: Bacteria
Description: partial 16S ribosomal RNA
Rfam family: Bacterial small subunit ribosomal RNA
Source: RNAcentral